This 1742-nucleotide long non-coding RNA is filed under the name Sorghum bicolor (sorghum). Its description in RNAcentral is "long non-coding RNA (SBIC_LNC003694)". The record is from RNAcentral. Lineage: Eukaryota; Viridiplantae; Streptophyta; Magnoliopsida; Poales; Poaceae.
UAGAUCUAAAGUCACAACAAAAAUUUUAUAGUAAAGCAUACUAUAUUAUUUAUUCACUGUGUAGACAUACUCAUGUAGAGUCUAACAAUUUUGUUUUUUUUUCUAUUUUAUGAUUUUUCUUUUUUUGUGAUUUACUAUGAUUUUUUCAAAACUCAGCCGAAAUAAAAAAGAUAAAAUCACUUUUAAAACUGCUUAUAAUAGAGUUAGGAAGGUAAGAUAAACAAUUUUAAAAGUUAAAGGAAUUGUUUUGCGCGGUUUUGAAGUUUAAAAAAGAAAAAUGAACUUUUACGGAAGUUUAGAAAAAUAAUAUAGAUUUUUCCUCAUCGUAAUACUACUAGGGUGUUUCUCCGGUUCUGAUUUCCUUUUGAGUUCUCGAUUACGCGAGCCACACUCAAGGUCUUUUUUUUUUUUGACAAUUACACUCAAGGUCCAGACUUUUCUGAUUCGGUGCGCACGUCUGAUAAUAAGCGUUAUAGAAAAAGGUAUAUAUAGAGUAUAUAGAAAAGGUAUAUAGAUUCGGAUGUGCUGGUGCCCGGACGUCCGAGAGACCGAUCCAUCGGACAGUGCCGUGGACGCCAUGCAUCCGCACGCGAUCCCUCCUGUCCUUCGCACGAAAUCGUGCCCCCGCCUGUUCCCUGCACGAAAUCGUGCCCCCGCCUAUCCCCCACACAAAAAAGAAGGAAAAUAAAGUCGCCCACCCUAGCACUGAGAACGCUAGGGACGCGCCCCAUCCCCCAUGUGCACCGAUCCGUCCAGCCUCAACCCUCACCGACUCCAGCACCACAGCCCACGACCAGCUCGCCCCCCAUAGCCCGUCCACCAGCUAUAACAAUAGAAAAAAGCUAUUGCAACAUCGAGAGAACAUAUAAUAAAACAAAAAAACUACUGCAACAAACAAAAAAAAAUAUUACAACAAUGAAUAAACAUCUAAUGCAACAAAUAAAAAUAUGAACUGCAACAUAAAAAAGGUCUACUGCAACAAUAAGAAACAUCCACCGCAAACAUGAACAAAUUGUUGCAACAACCAAAAAAAGUUGUUCCAACGUCUCAAGCACUACUAGUGCAACAUCGGGAAAAUCAGCAGCAACAACGAAGAAAAGCUAUUACCACAUCUCAAGUACUAUUACUGCAACAUCGAAAAACGCCUAUUACAAUAACCAAAAAAAUACCAUUAUAACAUUGCAAAUCAUCAGUUGCAACACUCAAACAGAACUAUUCCAACAACGAUGAGAUUUGACCCUAAGGGCUCAUCGGAACCCUAACCACCACCGCAUCCAUUAGAUCCAGACCAGAGGAGAUGAGGAGGAGGACGACGAGGAGAAGGUAGAGAAGAGUUUAGUCUAGAGGGUGGAGGAGGAGGAGGAAGAGGAGGAGGAGGAGGAGAAGUCUGAGAUCUAGACAAGAACCCCACCUACCUCGCGGGGUGUCGCCGGCAUCCAUGGAGGUCGCGGAACACCGCGAGGGAGAGAGAGUAGGGGGGAGAAAGACGUUUGGCUCGCCGAAAACCGCCUCCAUCACCCCCGACUCUGACUCUAGUGGUAUGGAGGUCGCGGGGCACCGCACGACAGGAGAAAGGGUGGAAGGGAGGGAGGGAAAGCUCGCUGGCAUCGCGGCGUGAAGCACAUAGAGGGAGGGGAGGCGCGGGCAUGAGCAAGGAGUGGAGGAGCAGGAUGAGGAGGAAGAAUAGAAGAUGAGCAGCGGGCAGAAAGAAUAAGUCGUGCGGGUGGAUAAACCGAGCGAUG